AGCAGCAUGGCCUAGUGGAUAAAGCACAGGCCUGGGAAUCAGAAGGACCUGGGUUCUAAUCCCAGUUCUGCCA
This 73-nucleotide transfer RNA is filed under the name Ornithorhynchus anatinus (platypus). It matches the Rfam family "tRNA". Rfam says of the family: Transfer RNA (tRNA) molecules are approximately 80 nucleotides in length. Their secondary structure includes four short double-helical elements and three loops (D, anti-codon, and T loops). Further hydrogen bonds mediate the characteristic L-shaped molecular structure. tRNAs have two regions of fundamental functional importance: the anti-codon, which is responsible for specific mRNA codon recognition, and the 3' end, to which the tRNAs corresponding amino acid is attached (by aminoacyl-tRNA synthetases). tRNAs cope with the degeneracy of the genetic code in two manners: having more than one tRNA (with a specific anti-codon) for a particular amino acid; and 'wobble' base-pairing, i.e. permitting non-standard base-pairing at the 3rd anti-codon position. Lineage: Eukaryota; Metazoa; Chordata; Mammalia; Monotremata; Ornithorhynchidae. The record is from Rfam by way of RNAcentral.